Molecule: ribosomal RNA, 253 nt
Filed under: uncultured bacterium
Lineage: Bacteria
Description: partial 16S ribosomal RNA
Rfam family: Bacterial small subunit ribosomal RNA
Source: RNAcentral
UACGGAGGGGGCAAGCGUUAUUCGGAAUCAUUGGGCGUAAAGGGCGCGUAGGCGGCUUUGCAAGUGACGGGUGAAAGCCCUCGGCUUAACCGAGGAACUGCCUGUCAGACUGUGAGGCUUGAGACCGGGAGAGGUGAGUGGAAUUCCCAGUGUAGCGGUGAAAUGCGUAGAUAUUGGGAGGAACACCAGUGGCGAAGGCGGCUCACUGGACCGGAACUGACGCUGAGGCGCGAAAGCGUGGGGAGCAAACAGG